GAUGAACGCUGGCGGCGUGCCUAAUACAUGCAAGUCGAGCGAACAGACGAGGAGCUUGCUCCUCUGAUGUUAGCGGCGGACGGGUGAGUAACACGUGGAUAACCUACCUAUAAGACUGGGAUAACUUCGGGAAACCGGAGCUAAUACCGGAUAACAUGUUGAACCGCAUGGUUCAACAGUGAAAGACGGUCUUGCUGUCACUUAUAGAUGGAUCCGCGCCGCAUUAGCUAGUUGGUAAGGUAACGGCUUACCAAGGCAACGAUGCGUAGCCGACCUGAGAGGGUGAUCGGCCACACUGGAACUGAGACACGGACCAGACUCCUACGGGAGGCAGCAGUAGGGAAUCUUCCGCAAUGGGCGAAAGCCUGACGGAGCAACGCCGCGUGAGUGAAGAAGGUCUUCGGAUCGUAAAACUCUGUUAUUAGGGAAGAACAAAUGUGUAAGUAACUAUGCACGUCUUGACGGUACCUAAUCAGAAAGCCACGGCUAACUACGUG
RNAcentral lists this ribosomal RNA (497 nucleotides) under uncultured bacterium. RNAcentral describes it as "partial 16S ribosomal RNA". It matches the Rfam family "Bacterial small subunit ribosomal RNA", at positions 28 to 507 of the family's 1533-position model. The record is from RNAcentral.